UUAAGCAUAUUAAUAAGCGGAAGAAAAGAAACUAACAAGGAUACUGUUAGUAAUGGCGAAUGAACACUGUUUUACCAUUAUUGAACUUUACAUCUACUCGAUGUAAGGAGUGUGAUAUUGGUGUGAUUUUAUUUGAUUUCUUCGAUUGAUGCAAGUUUGAUUGAUUGCAACUUCUCAUAGAGGGUGAAAGUCCCGUAUCAUCUUUCGAGAGAAAUUCAUUUCUAUCACGUACGAGUAAAGCUGUUUCGAAUUGCAGCUCGAAUUUACGUGGUGAACUCCAUGUAAGAUUUAAUAUGGUCGCGAGACCGAUAGAGAACAAGUACCGUGAGGGAAAGUUGAAAAGUACUCUGAAAAGAGAGUGAACAAGCCUGUGAAACUGUGCAUUGCAAAGCGAAUGAUAGAAAGUGAUAACUCAUCGUUCAAUCACUCGUUUGUCCUUAUUUGAUUACUUUAAAGAGUCAUAACGAGUGUCUUGUUCAAAGAGUUUCCAUUAUGCAGCGUCUGUCAAUUAUGCUUUUCAAUGAAAGAAUUUGUAUCUUCAAGAUACUUGUUGUUCAUUGUCAGUUUGCGUUUUGCAUAAAAGCAGACAUGACUGGUGUUUAUUUAUUGCUUGAUAUAAUGAAUUCUUCUUUGCAGUUUUUGUAAAGUGUGAAUUAUCAAGUUCGAUUGGGGCAUAUAUUUGAAAAUCUGUCAUCUGAACCGUCUUGAAACACGGACUAAGGAGUUCAACUUGAGCGCAAGUCGACUACGUGAAUAAAUUUUGAGGCAAAGUGAAAGCAAUUUUAUGUUAACGGAAAUUCAUAUUGAAUUACGAUUAGCACAUGUUAUGGGUAGCGGUUUUUUAAUUGCUUACUGCAACAGAGCGCUUUGGUUGUGACCCGA
RNAcentral lists this ribosomal RNA (882 nucleotides) under Rhadinorhynchus gerberi. Its description in RNAcentral is "partial large subunit ribosomal RNA". It matches the Rfam family "Eukaryotic large subunit ribosomal RNA", at positions 34 to 819 of the family's 3401-position model. The record is from RNAcentral. Lineage: Eukaryota; Metazoa; Acanthocephala; Palaeacanthocephala; Echinorhynchida; Rhadinorhynchidae.